AACUUAUGGUCUUGUAGGUCCUGCCUAACAACUAGUUUGUUGGUGCUAGGUACUUACAGAUCAUCCUUCUGGAGAGUGCUUCUGCCCUUGAUUGGGUGGUUGUACAAUUCAGAUCAUUUACUGUGAGUAAAUCAGAGUGUUCAAAGCAGGCUUUUAAGCUUGUAUGCAUUAGCAUGGAAUAAUAAUUUAGGACUUCGGUUCUAUUUUGUUGGCCUAGAAUUGAAGUAAUGAUUAAAAGGGAUAGUUGGGGGUGCUAGUAUUUAACGGUCAGCGGUGAAAUGCGUAGACCCGUUAAAGACUAACUCAUGCGAAAGCAUU
RNAcentral lists this ribosomal RNA (318 nucleotides) under uncultured Vampyrellida. Its description in RNAcentral is "SSU rRNA". The stretch from base 100 to 318 matches the Rfam family "Eukaryotic small subunit ribosomal RNA", at positions 734 to 955 of the family's 1831-position model. Lineage: Eukaryota; Endomyxa; Vampyrellida. The record is from RNAcentral.